GAUCAUGGCUCAGGAUGAACGCUGGCGGCGUGCCUAACACAUGCAAGUCGAACGAAGCACCUUUUAAGAUUCUUCGGAUGAUUGAUCGGUGACUGAGUGGCGGACGGGUGAGUAACGCGUGGGUAACCUGCCCUGUACAGGGGGAUAACAGUUGGAAACGGCUGCUAAUACCGCAUAAGCGCACGAGAGGACAUCCUCUUGUGUGAAAAACUCCGGUGGUACAGGAUGGGCCCGCGU
This 237-nucleotide ribosomal RNA is filed under the name uncultured bacterium. RNAcentral describes it as "partial 16S ribosomal RNA". It matches the Rfam family "Bacterial small subunit ribosomal RNA", at positions 15 to 236 of the family's 1533-position model. The record is from RNAcentral.